AAUGGGAUUGCUGGGUCAAAUGAUAUUUCUAGUUCUAGAUCCUUGAGGAAUCACAACACUGUCUUCCACAAUGUUUGAACUAAUUUACACUCCCACCAAUAGUGUAAAAGUGUUCCUAUUUCUCCAAAUCAUCUCCAGCAUCUGUGGUUUUCUGAUUUCCUGACUGUUUCAUGAUUGCCAUUCUAACUGGUGUGAGAGAGUAUCUCAUUGUGGUUUUGAUUUGCAUUUCUCUAAUGAGCAGUGAUGAUGAGCUUUUUUUCCUGUUUGCUAGCAGCAUAAAUGUCUUGUGAGAAGUAUCUGUUCAUAUCCUUUGCCCAUUUUUUAAUGGGGUUGUUUAUUUCCUGUAAAUUUAUUUAAGUUCUUUAUAGAUUCUGGAUAUUAGCCCUUUGUUAGAUGGCUAGAUUGCAAACAUUUUCUCCCUUUCUGUAGGUUGCCUGUUCACUCUGAUGAUAGUUUCUUUUGCUGUGCAGAAACUCUGUAUUUUAAUUAGAUCCCAUUUGUCAAUUUUGGCUUUUGUUGCCAUUGCUUUUGUGGUUUAGUCAUGAAGUCUUUGACCAUUUCUAUCUCCUGAAUGGUAUUGCCUAGGUUUUCUUCUAGGGAUUUUAUGAUCUUACAUUUAAAUCUUUAAUCUAUAUUGAGUUAAUUUUUGUUUAAGGAAGGGGUUCACUUUCAGCUUUCUGCAUAUGGCUAGCCAGUUUUCCCAACACCAUUCAUUAAAUAGGGAAUCUCUUCCCCAUUGCUUGUUGUUGUCAGGUUUGUCAAAGGUCAGAUGGUUGUAGGUGUGCAAUGUUAUUUCUGAGGCCUUUGUUCUGUCGCAUUGGUGUAUAUAUCUGUUUCGGUAACAGCACCAUGCUGUUUGGAUUGCUGUAGCCUUGUAGUAGAGUUUGAAGUCAGGUAGUGUGAUGCCUCCAGCUUGGUUUUUUGUUUUUUCUUAGAAUUGUCUUGGCUAUGCAGCUCCUUUUUGAUUCCAUAUGAAAUUUAAAGUGGUUUUUUCCAAUUCUGUGAGGAAAGUCAAUGGUAGCUUGAUGGGGAUAGCAUUGAAUCUGUAGAUUACUUUGGGCAAUAUGGCCAUUUCCAUGAUGUUGAUUCUUCCUAAUCAUGAACAUGGAAUGUUUCUCCAUUUGUUUGUGUCCUCUCUUAUUUCCUUGGGCAGUAGUUUGUAGUUCGCCUUGAAGAGGUUGGUCACAUCCCCUGUAAGUUGUAUUCAGAGUUAUUUAAUUCUCUUUGUAGCAAUUGUGAAUGGGAGUUUGCUCAUGAUUUGACUCUCUGUUUGUCUGUUAUUGGUGUAUAGGAAUGUUUGUGGGUUUUGCACAUUAUUUUGUAUCCUGAGACUUUGCUGAAGUUGCUUAUCAGCUUACGGAGAUUUGGGGCUGAGAUGAUGGGGUCUUCUAAAUACACAAUCAUGUCAUCUGCAAAUAGAGACAAUUUGACUUCCUCUUUUCCUAUUUGAAUACUUUUAUUUCUUUAUUUUGCCUGAUUGCCCUGGCCAGAACUUUCAAUACUGUUUUGAAUAGAAGUGGUGAGAGAGGGCCUCCUUGUCUUGUGCCAGUUUUCAAAGAGAAUGCUUCCAGGUUUUGCCCAUUCAGUAUUAUAUUGGCUGUGGGUUUGUCAUAAAUAGCUCUUAUUAUUUUGAGAUACAUUUCAUCAAUACCUAGUUUAUUGAGAGUUUUAGCAUGAAGGGCUUUUAGUUUAAGGCCUUCUCUGCAUCUACUGAGAUGACAAUGUGAUUUUUGUCAUUGGUUCUGUUUAUGUGAUGGAUUACGUUUAUUGAUUUGCAUAUGUUGAACCAGCCUUGCAUCCCAAGGAUGAAGCCAACUUGAUUGUGUUGGAUAUGCUUUUUGAUAUGCUGUUGUCUUCAGAUUGCCAGUAUUUUCUGAGAAUUUUCACAUCGAUGUUCAUCAGGGAUAUUGGCCUGAAAUUUUCUCUUUUGGUUGUGUCUCCGCCAGGUUUUGGUAUCAUGAUGAUGUUGGCCUCAUAAAAUGAGUUAGGAAUGAUUCCCUUUUUUUGUAUUGUUUGGAAUAGUUUCAGAAGGAAUUGUACCAGCUCCUCCUGUACCUCUGGUAGAAUUUGGCUGUGAAACCACCUUGUCCUGGCUUUUUUUCAGUGGGUAGCCUAUUAAUUACCGCCUCAAUUUCAGAACUUAGUGUUGGUCUACUCAGGAAUUUGACUUCUUCACGUUUAGUCUUGGGAGGGUGUAAAUGUCCAGGAAUUUAUCCAUUUCUUCUGGAUUUUCUGAUUUAUUCUCAUAGAGGUGAUUAUAAUGUUCUCUGAUGGUAGUUUGUAUUUCUGUGGUGUUGGUGGUGAUAUCACCUUUAUCAUAUUUUAUUGCAUCUAUUUGAUUCUUCUCUUCUCUAUUUUCUUCUUUAUUAGUCUGACUAGUGAUUUAUCUAUUUUGUUGAUCUUUUCAAAAAACCAACUCCUGAAUUCAUUGAUUUUUUUAAGGGUUUUUCAUGUCUUUAUCUCCUUCAGCUCUGCUCUGAUCUUUGUCAUUUCUUGUCUUCUGCUGGCUUUUGAAUUUGUUCUUGCUUCUCUAUUUUUUUAAUCGUGAUUUUAGGGUGUCAAUUUAGAUCUUUCCUGCUUUCUCUUGUGGUCAUUGAGUGCUAUAAAUUUCCCUGUACACACUGCUUUAAAUGUGUGAUUUAAAUACCAGAGAUUCUGGUAUGUUGUGUCUUCAUUCUCAUUGGUUUCAAAGAUCAUCUUUAUUUCUGCCUUCAUUUUGUUAUUUAUCUAGUAGUCAUUCAGGAGCAGGUUGUUCAGUUUCCAUUUAGUUGUGUGGUUUUGAGUAAAUUUCUUAAUUCUAAGUUCUAAUUUGAUGCCACUGUGAUCUGAGAGACAGUUUGUUAUGAUUUCUAUUCUUUUGCAUUUGCUGAAUAGUGUUUUACUUCAAAUUACAUAGCCAAUUUUAGAAUAAGUGCUAUGUGGUGCUAAGAAUGUGUAGUCUGUGGAUUUGGGGUGGAAAGUUCUGUAGAUGUCUACUAGGUCUGCUUGGUCCAGAGCUGAGUUCAAGUCCUGGAUAUCCUUGUUAAUUUUCUGUUUCAUUGAUCUGUCUAAUAUUGACAGUGGAGUGUUACAGUCUCCCACUAUUAUCAUGUAGGAUUCUAAGUCUCUUUGUAGGUCUCUAAGAACUUGCUUUAUGUAUCUGGGUGUUCCUGUAUUGGGUGCAUAUAUAUUUAGGAUAGUUAGCUCUUCUUGUUCUAUUGAUUCGUUUAUCAUUAUGUACAGUCCUUCUUUGUCUUUUUUUAUCUUUGUUGGUUUAAAGUCUGUUUUAUAAGAGACUAGGAUUGCAGAUUGCAAACCCUACUUUUUUUUUUUUUUUUUUUUGCUUUCCAUUUGCUUGGUAAAUCUUCUUCCAUUCCUUUAUUUUGAGGCUAUGUGUAUCUUUGCACGUGAGAUGAGUCUCCUGAAUACAGCACACCAAUGGGACUUGACUCUAUCCAGUUUACCAGUCUGUGUCUUUAAUUGGGGUAUUUGGCCCAUUUACAUUUAAGGUUGAUAUUGUUAUAUGUGAAUUUGAUCCUGCCCUUAUGAUGCUAGCUGCUGUUUUGCCCAUUAGUUGAUGUAGUUUCUUCAUAGUGUCAAUGGUCUUUACAAUUUGGUAUGUUUUUGCAGUGGCUGGUACCAGUUUUUCCUUUCCAUUUUUAGUGCUUCCUUUAGGAGUUCUUGUAAGGCAGGCCUCAUGGUGACAAAAUCUCUCCACAUUUGCUUGUCCAUAAAAUAUUUUAUCUCUACUUUACCUAUGAAGCUUAGUUUGGCUGGAUGAAAUUCUGGAUUGAAAAUUCUUUUCUUUAAAAAUGUUGAAUAUUGGCCCCACUCUCUUCUGGCUUGUAGGGUUUCUGCCAAGAGAUCCACUGUUAGUCUACUAGGAUCUUUGUGAGUAACCUGACCUUUCUCUCUGGCUGCCCUUAGCAUUUUUUCUUUCUUUCAACCUUGGUGAAUCUGGCAAUUAUUUAUCUUAGGGUUGCUCUUCUCGAGGAAUAUCUUUGUGGUGUUCUCUCUAUUUCCUGAAUUUGAAUGUUGGCCUGCCUUGCUAGGUUAGGGAAGUUCUCCUAGAUAAUAUCUUGAAGAGUGUUUUCCAACUUGGUUUUUUCCUCCUCAUCACUUUCAGGCACACCGAUCAAACGUAGAUUUGGUCUUUUCCCAUAAUCCCAUAUUUCUUGGGGUCUUUGUUCAUUUCUUUUCACUCUUUUUUCUCUAAUAUUGUCUUCCUACUUUAUUUCAUUGAGUUGAUCUUCAAUAUCUGAUAUCUUUUCUUCCACUUGAUUGAUUCAGCUAUUGAAACUCAUGUAUGCUUUAUGAAGUUCUUGUGCUGUGUUUUUCAGCUCCAUCAGGUCAUUUAUGUUUUUCUCUUAGCUGGUUAACCUAGUUAGCAUUUCAUUUUUCCAAGGUUCAUAGCUUCCUUGCAUUGGGUUAGAACAUGCUCCUCCUUUAGCUUGGAUAAGUUUGUUAUUACCCACUUCCUGAAACCUGCUUCUGUCAAUUCGUCAAACUCGUUCUCCAUCCAGUUUUGUUCCCUUGCUGGUGAGGAGUUGUGUAGAGGAGAAGAGGCAUUCUGGUUUUUGUAAUUUUCAGCUUUUCGCACCGGUUUCUACCCUUCUUCAUGGAUUUAUCUACCUUUGGUCUUUGAAAUUGGUGACCUUUGGAUGGGGUCUCUGAGUGGAUGUCCUUUUUGUUGAUGUUGUAACUAUUUCUUUCUGUUUGUUAGUUUUCCUUCUAACAGGCCCCUCCACUGCAGAUUUGCUGGAGUUUGCUAGAGGUCCACUACAGACCCAGCUUUCUAGGGAAUCACCAGCGGAUGCUUCAGAACAGCAAAGAUUGCCACCUGUUCCUUCCUCUGGUAGCUUCGUCCCAGAAGGGUACCCACCAGAUUCCAGCCAGAGCUCUCCUGUGUAAGUCCCUGAUGGGCUGCUGCCUUUUUUCAGAGAUGCCCUGCCAAUCAGGAGGGCAUCUAGUGAGACAUUCUGCCUGCAACUCUGAGCUGUGGUGGGCUCCGCCCAAUUCAAACUUCCUGGCAGCUUUGCUUACACUAUUGGAGCCUUGGCAAUGGUGGACGCCACUCCCCCCACCAAGCUCGAAGUCCCAGGUCAAGCUCAGACUGCUGUGCUGGCUGCAAGAGUUUCAAGUUGGGUGUGGCUCACUGGCUUUAGCCCCCUUUCCAGGGGAGUGAACAUUUCUGUUUUGCUGGCAUUCCAGGUACCACUAGGGUAUAGGAAGAAAAAAAAACUGCUGCAGCUAGCUUGGUGUCUGCUCAAGCAGCUGCCCAGUUUUGUGUUAGAAACCCAGGGCCCUGGUGGUUGUGUAGGUACCAGAGGACAUCUCCUGGUUUGUGGGUUGUGAAGACUGUGGGGAAAGUGCAAUAUCUGGACUGGUGUGCAGGGAACCGUCCCUAAUGGCUUCCCUUGGCUAGGAGAGGGAGUUCCCCAGCCCCUUGUGCCUACCGGGUGAGGUGACACACCACCUGCUUUGGCUCACCCUCCUUGAGCUGCACCUACUGUCCAACCAGUCCCAAUGAGAUGAACCGUGUACCUCAGUUGAAAAUGUGGAAAUCACCCACCUUCUGCAUUGAUCUUGCUGGGAGCUCCAUACUGGAGCCGGAGCUGUUCCUAUUUGGCCAUCUUGCCAGCAUCCCAAGAAUAUGAUUUUUAAAAUAACUUUAUAGAUGUAAACAAAGUCUUGAAUCUGCAGGCUGAAAGGGCACAUGAGAUGCUUGAAAAAAUAUAUAUUUCCAUAUAUACACAAAUUCACUCCAAUAUAUGGCUGGCGGAGUUGCUAAAUUUCAAAGAUAGGAAAAUUGAUAGGAAAAGUGAGUUAUGUACAAAAGGGGAAAAUCAGGUUUUCUUUAUACUUCUCCAUAGUUGCAUCCUCAAAAUUUGUGGUAAUGGAUUAGGAUUGGAGACAUCUGCGUGAACUCGUGUUUAGCUGAAUGUAGAUACAGCUGGAUACAUACAGAAAUAUAUAUACACAUGCUUAUUGUGAUACUAUGAUUAUAUAUAAUCAUAAUAUAUAUCAUAUAUAUUAUGUGUGCAUAUAUAUGUAAUCAUCAUACAUAUAUGAAAUAGUCUUUUGUCUGCAGUUCCUGGCUUAUAACUUCUAUAGCCUUUGUUACACUUGUUACAGUGUCUCAUUACAAUCUUGGGGCACUUCAGGCCUCUGGAGCAAGCCUAAAGAAACAGAAUCUCUCUCUCUGACCUCCUGUCCUCCUCUUGCCUGCACAAGGCAGAACUCUACUCUGAUUGUGGAUCAAGAGGCCUUUGUUCCAGAGAGGCUCCUGCCCUAUACUCUGGAGGAAGGAAUGCUACACAGAGAGGCCAGGAAGAAUCUGUACAAGGUAAGGCCUCCCUGGCUUUCCCCGUCUAGGUAUGAUCUCACAUAUAAGAUCACAUCCUUUUUGUUGAAUCACCUUUCUACAUGGUUGUCAAUCUUGCCUAUAAUGAAGACUCCAUAGAAACCCUAAAGGAUAGGGUUUGGGGAGCUUCCAGAGAGCUGAACUCUUGGAGGCCAACAGAAAGGUAAAGAACUCAUCCACAUGGUGGGAGGGUGGUGCACCACAACUCCACAGGUACCAAACCUCCUGCAUUCAGGGCCCUUCCAGACCUCGCCCUAUGUAUCUCUUCCUCUAGCUGUUUAUUUGUAUCCUUAUAAUAUCCUUUGUAAUAAACUGGUAAACCUACAUGUUUCCCUGAGUUCUGUGAACCAGCCUAGCAAAUUAGUCAAACCCAGAAGGGGUCAUGGGAACCGUAACUUGAAUCCAGUUGGUUGGAUGUUCUAGGGGCCUCACACUUGCACCUCAAAGGGAAGGACAGGGUGGUAUUGGGACUGAGCCCUCAACCUGUGGGAUCUGAUGUUAUCUCUGUGUAGACAGUGUCAGAACUGAAUUGCAGGAUACCCAGCUGGUGUCCACUGCUUGGUGUGUGAGGGAAACCCCACACAUUUGUUCACAGGCAUCAUUUUCUCUGUUGAUGAUUGUUGUGGUAAUGUGAGAACAGAGAAGAACAAGGUUUGAGAAUUUUCCCUAUACACACAUAUACACUGGUUAGUAUACACGUUUCUUUGCUUUGCCACUGAGCGACUCUAGAAGAACCAAAACAAAAAAAUGUGCUACCCCAUAGGACAGUGAAGACACCCACCACACAGAUCUUAUAUUUAAAUACCAUUCUACAGUAAAGGGAAACAGGGCUCCCGGAGAAAUGGCUGAUACUAGAAUGGGGCAGGGCUGAGUCUGCAGCAUCCUGUGGUGCCAGAAAGUAAGGAAAGUAAGGAGAUGCUCAAAUAACAAAACAAUGGGUAUAUGUCACCUGAACUCAGAAGCCAACAAAAGGAGCUCCCCAAGGCCAAAGCUGAAACAAUAUGAGCAACAAAAUAAAUAGCAGUAUUGGAUUAUAACCCAAAGAAUAAAAUACAUCCUUGAGUCCAUAGUGGCAAAAAUAAAUAUAUUGAGUGAAUAAAUAAAUGCAUAAAUAAGAAUAGGCAAAUCUGAACAAAAGAAUUUCGAGUAAUGUAUGCACUGUCUCCCUCACGUAGGUAAAGCAUAAUAACAUCCUGCCCCUUACGUACAGGCUGCACACAGUGACUUCCAUCCAACAAGUACAAUAUAGAAUGGGGUACAAAGAGUGGAGAAACCUGACAAACACUGCCUCGGCCCUGUGAUCAAGCCCAGCAUUGGUGUAAGUUGUGUUCAUGGCAUGUACCCUUGAUACAAUGUGAUGAGAAUGACGCUUUACUUCUGUUCUCUUCCUUGCACGAACCCAUAACCUCAGUGUCAUUAUGAGAAUAACAUCAGACAAAUUGAGAGCUAGCCUACAAAGUACCCUGACUUGUACUCCUCAAAACUGUCAAGGUCAUCAAACACAGGGAAAGUCUGAGAAACCACAGCCCAGAGAAGUUCAAGGAGGUACGAUGCUUCAUAUGCUGUGGUAUCCUGGAUAGAAUCCUGGAUCAGAAAAAGAAGAGCAGGUGAAAAGAAAUUCAAAUAAAGUGUGGACUUUAGUUAAUUUUAGUAUAUCAAUAUUUUUUCAUUACUUUUAACUGACAGAUAUACUAAUGUGACACAUUAACAACAAGAGAAACUGUGAGGUUCCCUUAUGCCCUUGGUACUAUCUCUGUAACUUUUCUGUAAAUGUAAAACUAUUCAAAAAUUAGAAAAUAUUUUAAAACAAAAUUUUUUCAACCCAGAACACAUAGAUGGUGUGAGUUUCUUUCCUUUCUUCUUUUCUGUUUUUUCUAUCCAUUCAUGCUUUCAUCCAUCUCUUCUUCCAUCCAUUCUUCUCUCUGUGUAUACAUGGAGAAAUGUCUGUAAUAGCAUCCACCACAUUUAAGGACCGCUGCACCUAAAUAGUGCAUUUUGUAGUGGUUUUCUGAACUGUUUGACUUAUUUUUUAAGAUCAUGCUACUUCUAUUAAAGUAUUAAAGUCACUAUACUUUUUAAAUGAAGAAGUUGGAGAGAGAAAUAUUAAUCAUUAAGAAUUUAUUUUUCCUAAUAAUAUGCUAGAUGUAACAAAAAUCAACACUAUUUCAUUUUAAAAAGAUAGGCAGGAUAUUUGGUCUAAGACAAGGUUUGCUGAAUGACCAUAAUUCAUCAGUACAUUUGAUUGCAGUUAAUUACAUAAUCAAAACCCAAAAACAUUCAACCUGAGAGGGCUGAUUUUAAAAAAUGAAAACAAGAAACCAUGUGUUUAAUUUUUUUUCCUGUGGGAACACAUACACAGUGUCUUAAUUGUGUGAUUUUGCUAUUAAGGUACAUCACAUAUUUUAUAGUCAGCCCCCACAGGAAAGAGAAAUGCUCAAUUAAUCCUAUUUCUAUCCAGGAGAGCUCAGUUUCUAGUUAAGAAUUAAACAUAUCUAAAAGCAAACAAUACACUACUGACUUCACAACAGAGCUCUGCCUAAUGUCAGAUGUGGUUCUGACUUGAUAUAAAUAGUUGUUUCAGGAUAAUAUAAUUGCAAUAAGGAGUUUAUUAUGAUUAAAUGGAAAGAAGACAAAUCUUGAGAAGAGUCACUGCCUUUUCUCCCUAACCCUCUGUGGAAAACUAGAACGUGUCACCCUAAAAUAUGAAGGAUUAAGCUGAAGGCAAUGAAGAAUAGGAAUCAGGAAAGCUCUUUGCCCUUCCUCUGUUUGCCUAAAAGCAGGACAUAGACUCACAAAGACAAAAGGAAUCCUGCCUGCUUCUCUACCAGGGAGAAUAAAGGUUAGCCACUGAAGACAGCUUUAGACCUCAUAAACCUGAGCAUGGACAAACAUUACUAACUGGCCUUCAUCUGCCAUCUAUUUGCCUUCCAUACUUGCCAUCCCUAGAGACUCAAAAUCCUUUCACUUUGUCCUGUUAUUACUUAAAAAUUGACUAUUCUUUGUUGACAAUGCUAUUUAGCUGGAAUUCAAAGCCACCUUUUUGAAAACUACUCGUUACCUGGGUGUCUCCCAUGUAUAUAUGAAAUAUAUAUACAAAUAAAUUUCUGCUUUUUUUCCUCUUUUUAAUCUACCUUUUGUUACAGGGAGCUGUUCCAACUAAGAACCUAUGAGGGUUGAAGAAAAAUUUAUUUUUCUUCUCCUACACCUCAAAACAGCAAAGGUGGCCAGAUCUCUCAACUUUUAAAUUUUUAUGUUAAUUGGAGGCAGAUUUUUAAACUGCGGAAUUUUAGUACUGGUAGAAAUAACCAAGAUCAAUCCAAGAGUCUAAGUCCUUCAUGUUGCAGAUGAGGAACAAAGGAUUUUCAUGCCCACUUUUGUUUUUGUUUUUAUUUUUUGAGACAGUCUCCCUGUCACCCAGGCUGGAGUGCAGUGGAGCAAUGUUGGCUCACUCCAACCUCUGCCUCCUGGGCUCAUGGAAUUCUUCUGCCUCAGCCACCCCAAGAGCUGGGAUUACAGUCGUGCACCACCAUACCUGGCAAAUCUUUGUAUUUUUAGUAGAGAUGUGGUUUCACCACAUUGACCAGGCUGAUUUUGAACUCCUGGCCUCAAGAGAUCUUCCCGCCUCAGCCUCCCAAAGUGCUGGGAUUACAGGCAUGAGCCCCUGCUCCCAUUCUUCAUGCUCAGUUUUAAGGAAACCUGAUAGACCCAAUUCUUCUGGCAAAAUAGAUAAAUUGAGGUAGAUAUUCAUUUUACAAAAUGUUUCAAUGCAAUAUUUCUUUAAAUAUGCCCCCCAUAUGUUUUAAAAGUAUUAUUCAACUUAUAAAAUGGAAUUCACACACGAUUUUCAGGAAUUCACCUACAUUUAGCAAAUACACAUUUCUGUAAUGUCUCCUGUGUACAAAACUCUGUGUUAGGCACCACAGCGAUUGCAGGACCCCAGCUCCACUGUGAAGUAAUAUAUGACUUUGAAGAAAACUUUAUUUGUCCUAAAAACUGACAGUGCUCUCAAAACAAGGUGUAAUGGUUUUCAGAAAUCAUCAGAGUCCAUCAACAAGCAACAAAACCAUUGUCUGAGUCUCACUUCCAUUUCCUAGUGCCUUCGUCCUCCUCCACAUUUUCCUCCAUUUCAACGCUUUCCUUGUGUACCAGGCCAAAAGCCUGCAAACAUCUGAGUAAGAGGUCACAUAUGCAAAUUUCCAAGAAAAAAAAAUGAACCCAAAUAGAAAUGAACUAGAAAGGAGACAAAUAUUAAGAUUCUUCCAACUCCUUUACUCUUUGACUGGCCUUCAUUUUGGAUUUCUAUUAUAUGGUGGGCAUGUAUCUUAAUGUUUUCAUUAACCCAGAUGACUGGCUUGUAAUUUUCAGCAAAUCAUACAUUCUGAGAUUCAAUGUGAUUCUGCUAUUGAUCUUCUUGAAAGGAAUGUUUUAAGAUUUUACUAGCAGGGGGAAUGUGAAGGCCAAUGUAAGUAUCAGGACACUCUUUUGAAGGUUUCACCUUACUAGAAGUUAUUUACCUAUAGACAAUCAUAGAGUGUGAAAGUUCUUGGGGAGUUUAUGAAACUAAUAGAUCAACUCCAGGACUAGGGAUAAAAAUCAAAAGGAAACACAAUUUAAUUCUUAAUUUACAGAAGCAAAGCAGCUAUGUGUAAGUCAAGGUGUGAUUAUUUGUAAAGGAUCAAUAAUUGGGGUAGAAAUGAUAAAGUGUUACUCACACACCAUUGUUACCACUAAGGCACUAUUAUGGUAGUGGAAAGAUCUGGGCAGAUCCUAUAGGAGUUUCAUGAGAUGAAAUUCAAGUGUACUAAAUAAUAGUAGAUUGAUGAGAAUUUAUCUGAUUGUUCUUGAUUCUCUUCCCUGCCUCCCAAAGCUACUGUCUUCCAGGCUCACAGAAUCUUUGGUGGCAGCAUUUUGCUUUUUGAGGUAUAUCCAAGGUCAAGGUUUGAAGUAGUUAGAAAAUCUGACAAGAAGAAAAAACCGAAUAAUGAAAACAAUGUAUGAAUAGGAAGAAAAGUCAAGUCGAAUUUACAUUUCUAAAGAUGCUAUGCUUCUGGCCAGGGGAAAUAAUACAUUUUGCCAGUUGACUUCAUGGUGUCCCACUCUGGGCUCAGACACAGAUGGAAUAAAUGUUGGAGCUUCUUCCUAGAAUUGUAUGGCCAGAUUCUUAUAAUUUAGGAUUGUCUAAGUUAAUCCUUGAAGAGAUCAGAACUUCCUGGCCUCUCAACUCACGGAUGUUCUUAUCCAGGGUUAACAAUGCUGAGGCUGUGCUUUGCUCCUAUGAGACUAACAAGUGCACCGUGUUCUUGGCAGUCCCUUAGCUGAUACUGCCGCUCCUGGGAAGACCUGUUGUUGCUUAUGUUUUAGCUUCACCCUUUCCCUCCCUCUUCCUUUCAAUCAGACACCCCUUUCUCAGCACACUGAGAAUUCCCUGAGAGUCAGUGCACAGCCAACAUUUGUGGGUCUGGCCCAUAUGCACAUGUCCUGAGCAAACUAGAAAUCUACAUAGGCUUGAGGGAAAGUUAAUGAAACAUGAACUGACCACUCUAACAUUUCACAACCAGGGAAGUCUUACAGAAAUGAAAUGGAAAAUGAAUUAAAAUAUCAAGAUUGAGGCUUUAAAAUAUCAAGAUUGAGGCUUUAAAAAAAUGUGAGAAGAGCGUUGACAUCCCAUGUGGGAAGCAUAGGGGUCUGUUCCAGUUGUUUUAGGAAGAGUCAGCUCACAGCUGAGAGAUGCUUACAGCUGAGUGUUCUGAGCAACUUGCACACGGCAGGGGGAGGAAGAGCAGAAGGAGAAGAUGUGAACUGUCGGCCCAAGCGUUUCAUGGGCAUUCAUCUCAUAGCAGAGCUCCUGAGCUGAUAGGGAUCUUUAAUUUCAGUUGAGUCAUCUGAGCUCAUAGUUAAAAUAAUAAUGAUAAUAUUAAUAGCAACUGCUGGGAACGUGCCAGACCCCUUGAUGAUAACCGAGCAGCCCCGGGCCUCUGGAAAGAAUGGCGAAAUCCGAGACAUUUGAGAUUACAAGAAGAAACCGUGGUUGUCAUUUCAUUUGUCGUGCUGUCUUAAACUUAGUUUGCCUGAGCAGUUAAGGUGGUGGGAAUUAGCUUAUGGAUUCAUUACACUCAACUAAAGCCUCGGACACCUGCUGAAGAAAAUCAUAGGCCCUCCACUCCGCAGCCUAAAGUUCCAAAUUGCAACCCUUCGGACACCUGCGAGCCAUUAGCGAAUAUGCGUUUGCUCUUCCAACAAGAUCCCCAGGAAGGUCUCUGAAGAAAAGUAACCAACAAUCAGAAAUUAUUUGUGAUUUGGGGAAAGAACUUGUUUUAUGAAGUCAUUCAAAAGUCUUUUUCUUUUUCUUUUACUUGAAUGUCCAAUAACAAUUUGAAGUUAUUCCUUUGAUGAUUUCAAUACACUUAUCAUACUAGCAUCAAUCCUGUCUUUUAAUUUUUUUAUUUUUAUAUGUUUUUCUGAAAGCUGAAGUAAGUCCGGCCUUUUUAAUAGCAAACAACUUGGCUGACAAACUAGCAGAAAAUGGAGGAAUUUAAAGAAAAAUAUACACAGAUAUAUACUUGGUAAACUACAGCAAGCAUGAGGUAUUUAUGACACCUUGAUUAUUGAGAUUUAGCUUUUUCAGUAUAAAAGAACAUUCCUGUUGCAAAAAUCUGAGAAGGAAAGAUGGCAGCAAGGAUCAAAGAAACUGAACAAGCAGUGUAAUUGACAUGACAGAGCUGGUAUAAGCCACAAUUCCAAUUAGUAAGUGCAAGGGAAAGAACAUAGAUUAAUUAGGGUAGUUACCCAGGGAAUCCCUGAGGGGACACGUUUUACAGGCAUGAAUUUAAAAAAGAAAGGAGCAGAGUCUAGGAGAAAUACAAUAGACUGGCAUGAAUCUUUGAGAGUGCCUAGAAAAUCAAAGCCAAAAAUAGGCUGAGGCUUAAGAAAAAGGCAGAAAACAACUAGAGGGACGUUUUUAUUUGAUCUGACAAAAAGCAGAAAGAAAAUGUACCUCAUGAAGCGUUAGAACUUUAAGCAGAUAAGGCUACCCUAAGGAUGCAUUUGCUUGCUUGGAAUAAAUGCAAACCUCCAAGCUCAGAGAAAAAACAGACACAAUACAGCAGCAAAUGUGAGUAAAUAAUCUGUCAAUCAUUAUUUGAAAAAUUACAGUGAAUUAGAGAUAUAAAAGAUCUGUACAAAAGAAAACAUUGCCUCAGUAAGAGGAGUGGUGCCUGAUGCACUGAUAAUAUGGAUUUAUCCUUAUGUCACAUUGUUCAUUUUCAGCCAUCCUUAUAUGUGGUCUCUCACAUUGUCAUCUGUCACAUGUAAGUCUGCUCUAGAAUGGAUGCACAUAUCAUUCUCCAAAAGCUGUUGGUUACCAGUUACAGAAAAUGCUGAAUCUCUGUGUCCCCGACUACAUACUGCAGAUAUUUUGAAAUAUAGUGUGUUCUUCUACUUACAAGAAUUUGCUGUCACUAAUAUUCUUAGCUGAAUAUAAUACCAGCUUCCAAUAACUUCCCACCCUAGGGACGAUCUCUCUUACAUGUCUGCAGCUGAGCAGGCUUCUCUUCCAUGUGUCUUCUCCUCUCUCUAUCCCUCAUCUUCUUCCUCCUUUGUUUUCUCUUUCUGCUGAGAAGUAAGGUGCUUCACAUUCCUCUUUUUUUUUGUUCUUGGAGAGAAUUAAUUCCAGCUUUGAGUCUAAGGUCAAAACAAAUUAUCCAAUGGACAGCACAGACAGCAUCUUAUUUCCUGAGUACCACUAAUAAGUAUCCUACCCAAUAAGCCAUCACUAGAAAGUGAGGGGCACUUGGCAAUUAAUUUUUCAGGGCCUUGUCUAAUACUACCAGUUUGAUCUUUAAAACAAAAUAUGAAUUCAUGGGCUCAUGUAAGGUAUGGUGAUUUUUCAAUGAAGGGAUAGAAUGAUGAGUAGAAAAGAGACACAUAUUGGUUUCUUUUCCAUUCAGUGCAUAUGAAGAUUCUGCUUAGUGUUAAAGCACCAUCUCUUCCUGUCCAGGUACAGGAAUCAUCAGUUCACAUUCUUCACUGUCAUCUGCAACAUUUUUGGCUCUUUCAUACUGCCUCCUGGGAGAAAAAGAUAGCAAUGCUGUUAUUACUAACAAUGCUACGGCUCUUCAGAUCUGUUCAUAUUUUUCAAAAUAUAGGCCUCUUUCCUCUUUAGUUCCCUAACUCCAUUUAGUUAGUGCUGAUUACUUCAUUGCUUCUGACACCACAUCAUUCAUCGUGCUGCCUAUAAAUAUUGGCAUCUAAUGACUCACACAAAAGUUCUUAUUAUACUUCAUUGACAAUGCCUACAUAUAUGCAGGUUUUAGUCACAGGAUGCACAAAAAUAUAAAUGAUCAUUUGUUUUGAUUGUGUUGUUUACUCUUCACAUUUGUAUGGUGUAAAACAAAACAACAUAUCUUCCAAUCUUACGUUUUCUUUAAACUCUUUAGACCACAGUCCUGGCAUUUCUUGAAUGUGAUAUUUUUGCAUGUUGACCACACUCUUGUCUUCCACACGCUGCCACCCAGGUGAGAGAUAAAAGGAGUGUUUCCAUCAGGGCAAGAAAUGUCUCUCACUUAUUCAACAUACCUUAAGACCAAGCUGGGAGAACGUGAUGUCACCACAUCGAUCAGAGGCAAGAGAGAACAUCAGCUGAGAGGGCCCAUUGGCACUGCAGAACCACAGUCUGAAAAUGCUUAUGAAGAAAGAGGUGCAGCCACUCCCAGAGGUGGCCUAAUAUGUAGUAUGGAGCCUAUGAAGGGAAUGGGGCAAAUGAUCUUGCUGCCUUCGGGUAUCGCAGACUGCAGAUGAUCUUGCUGUCACAACAUGGAUAAGCAAGAGCCAACACACGGAUCCAGAUACAUGGCUCAAGGCCAAGGGAUAGUAGUGGCCAACUGGUACUCCAAGGCCCUGAACUCAUCCUGUGUACAACAUGUUUGAGAGUUACCCAGAAUGAUCACAUGAGCAACAUUCUGGGAACCAAAUCUUGUGUGAGCUCACAAAGGAAAUACUAUGUGGGUUUUCAGGAGUGAUCAGCUUACCAAGCUACCCUUCUGGAACCAGGAUCUAGCCAUUUGAGCCCAGCCAUGAAACCCUAGGAUGCUCCCUUAGGUGCAAAUAUUACAGGUACUCUAGUUAAGUCUGUCAUGUAGGUUGAGGAGCUCCAAAUACCUCAAAAAGGAGAAAAUGAGACUGAGGCCCAUGCAUGUCUCAAUCCAGCCUCAGAGAUCUCUGAUUGGAUGGCCCUACCAGCCCCUGCUUUCACUGUACCCCAUAAGUUUUGAUAUUUUUCAGACCCUGAAUUCUGAUGCACCAGCUGAUGCCACCCAGACUGGUAAUUUGGCCCAACCAGUUUUGUGAUCCCACCCAGGAAAAGAAGGCAGCGAGAAGCAGCUAAUUUAAGCCCCUAUGAUUUCAUCUUUGAUCUGACCAAUCAGUACUCCCUACUCCCUGGUCCCUACUCACCAAAUUCUCCUUAAAAGCUCUGGUCUCCAAAUGUUCAUGGCGACUGAUUUCAGUAAUAAAACUCUGGUUUCCCAUUUAGCUGGCUCUCUGUGAAUUAAACUCUCUCUCUACAGCUAUUCUCCUGUCUUGAUAAAUCAGCUCUAUCUUCGCAGUGGGCAAGAAAAAUCCAUUGGGCCAUUACACUUUAAGGUCUUUCUAGAACAAAAUUCUCUCACAGACAAUGGUAGCUCAAGCUGCUGAUACAGCAUGGCCAUUUGUGCAAAUAAGGGCUCUUUGCACAUUGGAUGUCUCUCUGACUUCCUAUGCUCUUCUGUACUCUCUUUCUUUUGCUAUAUCAUAUCCUUUGCCUUUAAAUAAAUGCCUAUAUGAAUAUACUCUGUGGAGUCUGGUGAAUCAUUUCAAAUAACCAAACUGGGAAAAUCUUUGCAAUGCUAUAUCUAUACAAUAUAAUACUAUGCAGCCGCAGAA
Non-coding RNA from Callithrix jacchus (white-tufted-ear marmoset), 16261 nucleotides. Lineage: Eukaryota; Metazoa; Chordata; Mammalia; Primates; Cebidae. The record is from RefSeq and is a predicted model, not a curated record.